GGUUCCAAGGGUGCCUGCACCAGAGCAAGGGGGGUACCGGGGUGCCCCUGUCUCGGUGGGUGCUGAUGCUCUGCUGGGUGCAGGACCACCCACGCCGCCUCUUCCUUGCUGGGACUUGUGUGGGAUCUGGACUUCCUCACCGUCUCGACCAUUAAGGGGUUGCGCAUGAACUCCCUGCAUCUGAGCAUCUGGGCAUGAGAGCCCUCAGGUGACUCUGUGUCUGCCCAGGAAGGUCUGCAGUCGGAGAAGGGAAACACACUCUGCUAAGUGAAGAAACUAGGGACGCUGGUGGCUCUGUGGGUUAAACCACAGAGUCUAGGACUUGCCAAUCAGAAGGUUGGCGGUUCGAAUCCUCGUGACGGGGUGAGCUCCCGUUGCUCGGUCCCUGCUCCUGCUCACCUAGCAGUUUGAAAGUACACCAGUGCAAGUAGAUAAAUAGGUACAGCUCCGGCGGGAAGGUAAACGGCGUUUCCGUGUGCUGCUCUGGUUUGCCAGAGGUGGCUUAGUCAUGCUGGCCACGUGACCUGGAAGCUGUACGCCGGCUCCCUCAGCCAAUAAAGCGAGAUGAGUGCCGCAACCCCAGAGUCGGUCACGACUGGACCUAAUGGUCAGGGGUCCCUUUACCUUUACCUUUACCUUAAGUGAAGAAACUUGCUAGUGCAAGUUAGGAAGGAUAUCAAUAAUCAAUAUCUCCUCUCCUGCCACCCUCAACAUUCCCACAAAGGGUUAUGAGCCCCAGUGUAGCGUAUUUUUGAGUAUUUUUGAAGGAUUGCAAAGGAUUGAGAUCCUAAGCUGAAGAGUAUUUUUCUGAGUGUACUUCCUGGUAAGCACAUGGAUGUAAACCUGUUUGUACAUGUUUGUAACUUUAAGCCUUAGGGCCUGCCUUCAGGGAUCACACUGUGCUCUGCCUGAUUGUAAGCAAAACUACUUUUUGUUACUUAUGAAUAAGAUUGUGUUGUCUUUGUUCUUUUAGGAGGGAUUCAAAGGGCUCUUAUCAGGAAUAUUAGAACAUAUCUCAAUCUGUACAAGCCAAACUGUCUUAUUGUCUUGAGAAAUUCACACAAGUUUGCACUCUGCUAAGUGAAGACGCUUGCUAGUGCAAGUUAGGAAGGAUAUUAAUAAUCAAUAUAUCCUCUCCUGCCGCCCCCAGCAUUCCCACAUUCAGAUCCUUCGGCUUUUUUCAGUUGUAGAAAAGUGGCAUAAAGCGGGAGGGCGCAGAACAGACUCAGGAACAGAACGGAGAAGACAGAAGCACAUCAGCAGCCACCGCCAGCCGUCUUAAAGCACAGGGAAAAAGCAGCAGCAGCAGUAGUAGUAUUGGAGUUGCAGGGUAGUAACCUUUUUAAAAAGAUUUGUUUCAUCAAUAAACAUCAGGCUACUGUCCUCAGGGUCUUGUGCCAUUCUCACUUAAAGCUGAAAUGUCACAGAGAAAUCCAAAUAGUCAUCUUUUUCACAGG
Podarcis lilfordi (Lilford's wall lizard) is the source of this 1457-nucleotide non-coding RNA. The record is from the annotation of a GenBank genome assembly. NCBI's taxonomy places the organism in Eukaryota, Metazoa, Chordata, Lepidosauria, Squamata, Lacertidae.